This 393-nucleotide ribosomal RNA is filed under the name Curtobacterium sp. Its description in RNAcentral is "bacterial SSU rRNA". It matches the Rfam family "Bacterial small subunit ribosomal RNA", at positions 348 to 753 of the family's 1533-position model. Lineage: Bacteria; Bacillati; Actinomycetota; Actinomycetes; Micrococcales; Microbacteriaceae. The record is from RNAcentral.
GCAGCAGUGGGGAAUAUUGCACAAUGGGCGAAAGCCUGAUGCAGCAACGCCGCGUGAGGGAUGACGGCCUUCGGGUUGUAAACCUCUUUUAGUAGGGAAGAAGCGAAAGUGACGGUACCUGCAGAAAAAGCACCGGCUAACUACGUGCCAGCAGCCGCGGUAAUACGUAGGGUGCAAGCGUUGUCCGGAAUUAUUGGGCGUAAAGAGCUCGUAGGCGGUUUGUCGCGUCUGCUGUGAAAUCCCGAGGCUCAACCUCGGGCUUGCAGUGGGUACGGGCAGACUAGAGUGCGGUAGGGGAGAUUGGAAUUCCUGGUGUAGCGGUGGAAUGCGCAGAUAUCAGGAGGAACACCGAUGGCGAAGGCAGAUCUCUGGGCCGUAACUGACGCUGAGGAG